This is an RNA transcript of Helianthus annuus (common sunflower), 2435 nucleotides long. It is a transcript of the gene named UPF0176 protein CPn_0734/CP_0012/CPj0734/CpB0762-like, with no coding region annotated. The transcript has 6 exons. The record is from RefSeq and is a predicted model, not a curated record. Lineage: Eukaryota; Viridiplantae; Streptophyta; Magnoliopsida; Asterales; Asteraceae.
CAAACCCAAAAUCCUUUCCUUCACUGCCCUCAAAGAAACCUAACAAACGUACAAUCAAAACCCAAGAGUGAAUAUAGCAAAUGAAAGGGUCGAUGCAAUUAUAGAUGAAAUCAAUUGGACGAGGGAGAGGAAGAGAAGAAUACAGAGAGGGGGGAGAAGGCCCAUGGAUCUCCGGCCACAGCGACAUCUGAUGAGGGAUUUGUGUUGAGAGAGAGACAAAGCUCGACCUAGGGUUUCCGAUGGCAGGGUUCUGUCGCAAGUCAGGGUUAUUAGGAUUCGGGUCGAGUUGAUUCAGGUCGAGUUGGAGUGACUUUACGGCGACAGAAACUAACAUGGCGUUGUGGAGAUUUCUGGCGAGACGAUUAGGGUUCCGACGAGCCCUUUCAGUGCAAGACUGCCAUCUCUGUCAAAAAGAUCUGAACCGUUUAUGUGUGUUGGUGUGUUGCUGAUGAUGCCGGAAGCUAUAAAGUCGCUUGCUGUUUGCAAAUGCAUUGCUAGGUGCUAAGGCUCAACUAUUUUUAAGGUUUUUUUUUCUUACCAACCUCAUAACUUAUCACGUCGGUGAGUUUUCGGAUCCCUAUUCUUUGUUAUUUUAGAUUUGUGGUUGUUUUGAUGCAUAUUAAGGUUGAGAUGUGUGAACUGGUUGAAUUAUGGUUUACAUCUGAUGAAAUACGUACAGUAAAAAAAUCUCUAAAUAUAUAUUAAUGUUUGUUGUAGAUUUGCGUUGUUGAUUUGAUUCAUGUUCGGUUCCUCUCACCGUGACAUUAGGAAAGAAAACCAUAAGACAGAAAUCCUACCUUCAUCGGCCGUUAGUGUGAAACCAUCCAUCAUCUCUCCGGCCACCUUUCCGAUUCCGAUGGCUCUGCAUAUCGCCAAACGCCUCCUCCACACCCGAUCUGAUUCGCGCCACUCUCUUUCCCUGCGACGGCAUCGGUCCCGAGAUCGCUGAAUCCGUCAAACAGGUUCGAUUUGUUUUUUGCGGUUAUUAGAUUCAACUGUAUCAUGAUGAUUUGAUGUUUUAUUGUUUAGGUUUUUUAUUGUGUUAUACUGUUGUUAUGUAUGUUAUGUUUGUGGUGCUCGGUGGUUGAAGCACACAUCGCGAUGCAGACGGUCGGGACAUGAUCUGUUUGUGCCCUAGAAGUUUAUCAUGUAAGUUAGAUUCGAUUCGUUCAAGUUUUAGUUUCAUACUGUCAUGUAGAUCAAGUUGGUUGUGACUUAUUGAUGUUUAUAUGUUCAAAUCUAUCAUUAUCUAGGGUUUCACAGUUCGAUUUUUAUGUAUUUAAAUAACAGUCAAAUACAACAACCGUGUUUAUGGAUCUAGCAUCUAUUAAAUUUAUAUGAUACGUAAAAAUAUGGUUUGGACCUUGGGGGUUCAAUUUGGUUGGCCUGUGUAGAUAAGACACUUGUUCUACUAUUAGAUCCUCUGCUACUGCUGCACCCUCUAUCUUUCCCGCGUCUGAACGAACGAACAGGUAUCUCUUCCUCCUUUUUCCUUCAAUUUCACCGGAACUCAUCUCCGUUCCGAUGCUUGUUGCAAGCUCGCACAUUUGUAUCCAUAUUAGGGAUUUGUAAUUCAUAACCCUAAACCCUACCUUUCUUCCUGUUUGUUUUCAGAUCACUUUGUUCGCCAACUGUCUCUUUUCGUUUACAUCCAUCAUGAGGAAGAUGCACCAGUAAGUGUAUCUUUUCUUUUUCUUUGUACUGAUAAUGUGAUUCUACUUACAAUUCAUUGCUACGAAGAAUGACGAAGAGGAGUUCAACACUGGGCCUCUCUCUGUCUUACCGAUGGAAGGAGGGGUGUCACAUCUUCUGUUGGUUGACUCAUCUAUGCGUGGCAACACCUCUCACACCAUCUGAAUGUAGGAAAACGCUGUCAAAAUCCAGAUUGGAUGUGAGAAAUGGUUAUGAAUGGGAUAUUGGUCAUUUUCAUGGAGCUCAAAGACCAAACGUGUUUGAUAUACAGGCAAGGCAACUGAAGGCACAUUUUGGUACUCCGAUAGGGGUGUAAACGUGUCGGGCCGAGUGCGGGCCUUCCACGACUCAAGCUUGGCUCGUCAUGUUUUUAUGAAGCUCGGCUCGGUUCGGAUUUACUUAUUUGAGCUCGAGCUCGAGCUCGGCUUGCGAGUAAAACCCAAUUCUCGAGCUCGGCUCAACUCGGCUAAAUGAUCUAAACGCUCGGCUCGAGCUCGCUUUGAUUUCGCCUAAAUGACCCAAAGCUCGGCUCGAACUCGGCUUGCAAAUGUCAUUAGUUUAAUCAUAUGGGCCUAACUUGAAACCAAUGUGGGUUUUUUUUAGUAUCGGGUUAUAAUAAUCAUUAUCAUUAUAAAUUUUUUUGAGCUUGUUUAGACUCGCAAGCCUAAACAAAUUUUGUAUUUCAGACUCGAGCUCGUUAAGUCUCGAUUUGUAUGUUAAAAAAGCUUUUGAUUCCUCAACAA